GAUGAAGAACGUAGCGAAAUGCGAUAAGUAAUGUGAAUUGCAGAAUUCAGUGAAUCAUCGAAUCUUUGAACGCAUCUUGCGCUCCUUGGUAUUCUGAGGAGCAUGCCUGUUUGAGUGUCAUUUCAAGUUCUCAACCACAUCAAUUUCAAUGUGGCUUGGAUGGUGGGGGUUCUUUUUGCAGGCUUCUGUAAAUAUGAAGUCGGCUCCCCUGAAAUGUAUUAGUGGUAUCUGAGCUACUACAGGUGUGAUAACUAUCUAUGCCUUGGUAUGCUGCAUGAAACAGAUUGCGCCGCUUCUAACAAGUGGGAAACACAGUUUUGAUGAAUUUGACCUCAAAUCAGGUAGGACUACCCGCUGAACUUAAGCAUAUCAAUAAGCGGAGGA
Molecule: unclassified non-coding RNA, 384 nt
Filed under: soil metagenome
Description: partial contains 5.8S ribosomal RNA, internal transcribed spacer 2, and large subunit ribosomal RNA
Rfam family: 5.8S ribosomal RNA (bases 1-120)
Source: RNAcentral